CACGUAGGGCGCAAGCGUUGUCCGGAAUUAUUGGGCGUAAAGAGCUCGUAGGCGGUCUGUUGCGUCUGCUGUGAAAACCCGGGGCUUAACCCCUGGCUUGCAGUGGAUACGGACAGACUAGAGGUAGGUAGGGGAGAAUGGAAUUCCCGGUGUAGCGGUGAAAUGCGCAGAUAUCGGGAGGAACACCGGUGGCGAAGGCGGUUCUCUGGGCCUUACCUGACGCUGAGGAGCGAGAGCGUGGGGAGCGAACAGG
This 253-nucleotide ribosomal RNA is filed under the name uncultured bacterium. RNAcentral's name for it is "partial 16S ribosomal RNA". It matches the Rfam family "Bacterial small subunit ribosomal RNA", at positions 524 to 776 of the family's 1533-position model. The record is from RNAcentral.